GACGAACGCUGGCGGCGUGCUUAACACAUGCAAGUCGAACGGAAAGGCCCUGCUUGCAGGGUACUCGAGUGGCGAACGGGUGAGUAACACGUGGGUGAUCUGCCCUGCACUUCGGGAUAAGCCUGGGAAACUGUGUCUAUUACCGGAUAGGAGCCAUUUUUCGUGUGAUGGUUGGAAAGUUUUUUCGGUGUAGGAUGAGCUCGCGGCCUAUCAGCUUGUUGGUGGGGUAAUGGCCUACCAAGGCGGCGACGGGUAGCCGGCCUGGGAGGGUGGACGGCCACAUUGGGACUGGGAUACGGCCCAGACUCCUACGGGAGGCAGCAGUGGGGAAUAUUGCACAAUGGGCGCAAGCCUGAUGCAGCGACGCCGCGUGGGGGAUGACGGGCUUCGGGUUGUAAACUCCUUUCGCUAGGGACGAAGCUUUUUGUGACGGUACCUAGAUAAGAAGCACCGGCUAACUACGUG
Molecule: ribosomal RNA, 465 nt
Filed under: uncultured bacterium
Lineage: Bacteria
Description: partial 16S ribosomal RNA
Rfam family: Bacterial small subunit ribosomal RNA
Source: RNAcentral